This is a non-coding RNA of Callithrix jacchus (white-tufted-ear marmoset), 527 nucleotides long. Lineage: Eukaryota; Metazoa; Chordata; Mammalia; Primates; Cebidae. The record is from RefSeq and is a predicted model, not a curated record.
UUGAGAGCUAAGCAAGAGAAAAACAAAGAGGGGAAGAGGAAAGGCAAGGAAAAACAGGCAAUCCCAGAGAGGAGGGCUCAGUAGAGAGACAGGAUCUCACUCUGUCAUUCAGGCUGGAGUGCAGUGGUGUGAUCUCGGGUCACUUCAGCUUUGACCUCCCAGGCUCAGGCGAUCCUCCCAGAUCAGCCUCCUAAGGAGCCGCAACUACAGUUCGGUGUUCAAGAGAUUUGUUCACUGCCAAUCCUGCUACAGAAGCUGGAGGAUCACUUGAGACCAGGAGUUCAAGACCAGCCUGGGCAACAUAUCAAGACCCUGCAUCUGCAAAAAAUGAAUUUGCCAGGUGUGAUGGUGCAUGCCUGUAGUCCCAGAUACCUGGAAGGCUGAGGUGGGAGGAUCACCUGAGACCAGGAAGUCAAUGCUGCAGUGAGCCAAGAAUGUACCACUGCCUUCCAGCCUGGGCAACAGGAGUAAGACCUGGUCUCAAAAAAAAUAAAUGAGGAAAAUAAUAAUUAAAUGGAAACUGCUAU